AGCGAACGCUGGCGGCAGGCCUAACACAUGCAAGUCGAACGGAUCCUUCGGGAUUAGUGGCGGACGGGUGAGUAACACGUGGGAACGUGCCCUUUGGUUCGGAACAACUCAGGGAAACUUGAGCUAAUACCGGAUGUGCCCUUCGGGGGAAAGAUUUAUCGCCAUUGGAGCGGCCCGCGUCUGAUUAGCUAGUUGGUGAGGUAACGGCCCACCAAGGCGACGAUCAGUAGCUGGUCUGAGAGGAUGAUCAGCCACACUGGGACUGAGACACGGCCCAGACUCCUAGGGGAGGCAGCAGUGGGGAAUCUUGCGCAAUGGGCGAAAGCCUGACGCAGCCAUGCCGCGUGAAUGAUGAAGGUCUUAGGAUUGUAAAAUUCUUUCAGCGGGGACGAUAAUGACGGUACCCGCAGAAGAAGCUCCGGCUAACUUCGUG
This 433-nucleotide ribosomal RNA is filed under the name uncultured bacterium. RNAcentral's name for it is "partial 16S ribosomal RNA". It matches the Rfam family "Bacterial small subunit ribosomal RNA", at positions 29 to 507 of the family's 1533-position model. The record is from RNAcentral.